AGCGGAAAAAGGGACUUGACCCCUCACCUCAGCCUUAA
RNAcentral lists this transfer RNA (38 nucleotides) under Funaria microstoma. RNAcentral's name for it is "partial tRNA-Gly". The record is from RNAcentral. Lineage: Eukaryota; Viridiplantae; Streptophyta; Bryopsida; Funariales; Funariaceae.